Molecule: ribosomal RNA, 253 nt
Filed under: uncultured bacterium
Lineage: Bacteria
Description: partial 16S ribosomal RNA
Rfam family: Bacterial small subunit ribosomal RNA
Source: RNAcentral
UACGUAGGGUCCGAGCGUUGUCCGGAAUUACUGGGCGUAAAGAGCUCGUAGGUGGUUUGUCACGUUGUUCGUGAAAACCCACAGCUCAACUGUGGGCGUGCGAGCGAUACGGGCAGACUAGAGUACUGCAGGGGAGACUGGAAUUCCAGGUGUAGCGGUGAAAUGCGUAGAUAUCUGGAGGAACACCGGUGGCGAAGGCGGCAUCCUGGACCGAAACUGACACUGAGGCGCGAAAGCCAGGGGAGCAAACGGG